RNAcentral lists this ribosomal RNA (253 nucleotides) under uncultured bacterium. RNAcentral describes it as "partial 16S ribosomal RNA". It matches the Rfam family "Bacterial small subunit ribosomal RNA", at positions 524 to 776 of the family's 1533-position model. The record is from RNAcentral.
UACGGGGGGGGCAAGCGUUGUUCGGAAUUACUGGGCGUAAAGGGCUCGUAGGCGGCCAACUAAGUCAUACGUGAAAUCCCUCGGCUUAACCGGGGAACUGCGUCUGAUACUGGAUGGCUUGAGAUUGGGAGAGGGAUGCGGAAUUCCUGGUGUAGCGGUGAAAUGCGUAGAUAUCAGGAGGAAUACCGGUGGUGUAAACGGCUCUCUGGACCGCCACUGACGCUGAGACACGAAAGCGUGGGUAGCAAACAGG